UACGUAGGGUGCAAGCGUUGUCCGGAAUUAUUGGGCGUAAAGAGCUCGUAGGCGGUCUGUCGCGUCGGAUGUGAAAACUGGGGGCUCAACCCCCAGCCUGCAGUGGGUACGGGCAGACUAGAGUGCGGUAGGGGAGAUUGGAAUUCCUGGUGUAGCGGUGGAAUGCGCAGAUAUCAGGAGGAACACCGAUGGCGAAGGCAGAUCUCUGGGCCGUAACUGACGCUGAGGAGCGAAAGCAUGGGGAGCGAACAGG
RNAcentral lists this ribosomal RNA (253 nucleotides) under uncultured bacterium. RNAcentral's name for it is "partial 16S ribosomal RNA". It matches the Rfam family "Bacterial small subunit ribosomal RNA", at positions 524 to 776 of the family's 1533-position model. The record is from RNAcentral.